Molecule: microRNA precursor, 104 nt
Filed under: Marmota monax (woodchuck)
Lineage: Eukaryota; Metazoa; Chordata; Mammalia; Rodentia; Sciuridae
Source: RNAcentral
AGUGUGAUUGCUGGAUCACAUGGUAAAAGAAUGUUUAGUUUUUGUAAGAAACCACCAAACUAUCUUCCAAGGUCUUUGUGUCAUUUGACCUUUCCAGUAGCAAU